Molecule: long non-coding RNA, 725 nt
Organism: Lemur catta (Ring-tailed lemur)
Lineage: Eukaryota; Metazoa; Chordata; Mammalia; Primates; Lemuridae
Exons: 3
Source: RefSeq, a predicted model, not a curated record
UCGGUCUUUCUGAGGCUUUUGUAGACACACACUCGUCAUCAAUAUCAAAAGUCGAGUUGUUGAUUAUGAAACAGAAGUACACGCGUGAAGCCUGCUUACACACGGCAAAGGAAAGCCCAACACAUUGUGCAGAGAAUCUUGAGAGUCUGUCCCGUUUGUAAACCUGGAAAGUGUGAUUGAUCUUCUGUACGGAGCAUGGCUUCUUCUAGCAUUUUGCGAUCAUCGAACAUGUCACUAGAUUGCAAUUUCAUUAGAAGGGACUCUCACCGUUUUAGAAAAUUCCGAUUCCCAUUGGCUUGAAUGAUGAACAUCUUGCUCUGAUGACAUUUCUUUUCAUAAUAAAGAAGAUUUUUAGCAUAUCGACCGGAUUUCGCAUUUGCGAUGACUAAAUGGCUUUGACCUUGGCGAAGGCUGCACCCAGCUGAGAGAACUCUGACAAGCUGGUCGAGGUUAGUGCAGCCCGGGCUGGUUUCAUGCUAAGGCAUGAGAUCUCACCAUUGGAAAUUUUGGGACUCUGGUCAGCAGUUUAAAUUUGGUGAACAGAUGGUCUCAAUUUGAACGCAGUUGGAAGGUUCUUGGAAAAUUUAAGAAUGUCCAUGUCUGGAAAGAAACAUUUAUGGGAAUAGAAGUCUUCAGUACAAACUUGGUUGGUUUCAUAUAUUAAAGACUCUACCAGUCACAUCCCACGCGGGACACUUGUGACAUUUUUGUUUGGUUUUGUUGUU